Molecule: ribosomal RNA, 254 nt
Filed under: uncultured bacterium
Lineage: Bacteria
Description: partial 16S ribosomal RNA
Rfam family: Bacterial small subunit ribosomal RNA
Source: RNAcentral
UACGUAGGGUGCAAGCGUUGUCCGGAUUUAUUGGGCGUAAAGAGCUCGUAGGCGGCUUGGCAAGUCGGGUGUGAAACCUCCAGGCUCAACCUGGAGACGCCACUCGAUACUGCCAUGGCUAGAGUCCGGUAGGGGACCACGGAAUUCCUGGUGUAGCGGUGAAAUGCGCAGAUAUCAGGAGGAACACCGGUGGCGAAGGCGGUGGUCUGGGCCGGCACUGACGCUGAGGAGCGAAAGCGUGGGUAGCAAACAGG